GGCGGCGAGGCGCUGCUGCGGCGCUGCGCUGAGCUGGCCCUGGUGCGCUUGGCCCCGCUCCUGGCCGCCUGCGUGUGGCAGCGGCAGCCGUUCCGCCUGCGGUACGUGCCGGGCCGCGGCGAGAUCCCGGCGCACUUGGGCGGCACCGCGGAGUUCGGGGAUAACGUGGAGGAUGAGUGGUUCAUUGUGUAGCUGCUGCGGGAGAUGAGCAGGGAGUUGCCGGGGCUGGCAGCCAGGCUCAUGGCUUUCAAAUGUUGUGCUCCAAGAGCAGCAAAGUGGCUCCUGAUGCCAAGGGAAACGUGUUAAGAGGUCCUCUGUGGGAGAGAUUCCUCAGGAGCUUGAAGGAGAAGGAUUAUUUCAAGGACUGGCCCUUUGCUAUAUUGAGUUCCAAGUGCAGAUGGCAAAGACCAACGCUGGGAAAAGUUUCAGCAGCCACAUAGAGGGGCAAGUUCUGUUGGAGCAGCCCCAUGUGAGAGUGCUGGCCCUGACUGUGGAGCUGAGGCUGCUGAGCUGGCAGCCCUGGAUGUGGACAUGAACCUGGUGGCAAAGCUGCUCGAGUCCUACAGUGCCCAGGCUGGCCUGGCAGGACCCACCUCGAGCAUUUUACAGAGCCUGGGGGUGAAUUUACCUGAGAGCACAGAGCUCACUGGCAGCUGAGCAAGGCAGGGAGAGCCUUGGCACCAGACAUGGCUGCUUGGGAGAUGGAGCACACACACACGAGCAGGAUGGGGGAGAAGAGGCCAAAGGUUUGAAUUUGGAGCAUUCUGUUCAUUAUGUGUCACUCCAGCAGAGUGAAUUCACCUGCAAAAGCUUCUGUUUGCACACUGUCUUGGGUGGAAAUGAGAUUUUCCCAGCGCUAGCACAAUUCCAGAAAACUGGAAAAUUAUGUUGAAUGCAUGACUCAAAUGAUGUUUUCUU
Long non-coding RNA from Melospiza georgiana, 918 nucleotides. RefSeq lists it as uncharacterized. The record is from RefSeq and is a predicted model, not a curated record. The transcript is spliced from 5 exons. Lineage: Eukaryota; Metazoa; Chordata; Aves; Passeriformes; Passerellidae.